This 337-nucleotide unclassified non-coding RNA is filed under the name Hevea brasiliensis (rubber tree). The record is from RNAcentral. Lineage: Eukaryota; Viridiplantae; Streptophyta; Magnoliopsida; Malpighiales; Euphorbiaceae.
CAAUCAGAGAGACAAACUUAAAUUCACAUCAGGUUGAGGCUUGAAGACUACCUGGUACACUUGGAUUAACAUUGGUCAGAUGUUUUAAUCCUCUUUUGGCAUGAGUUCAAUCUGAGGACCCUCGUUCUACAAGAACUAGUGAAAAUGUAUCAUGCAUGGAAACCUUCUCAUUGUAUAUAGGAAGUAAGAUUGCGUUGAAUAAGACACUACAAGUCUAUAAGAGCAUCAUGGUAACAAGGGAGGCAGCAAACAGCACAAAAAAUACCAGAUCUUCACUAUAAAGGCCACUUUGAGCAGAUGCAGCUGCCGGAAGUGCUGGAAUUUUCACAGUUUUAUU